This 253-nucleotide ribosomal RNA is filed under the name uncultured bacterium. RNAcentral describes it as "partial 16S ribosomal RNA". It matches the Rfam family "Bacterial small subunit ribosomal RNA", at positions 524 to 776 of the family's 1533-position model. The record is from RNAcentral.
UACAGAGGGUGCGAGCGUUAAUCGGAAUUACUGGGCGUAAAGCGUGCGUAGACGGUUAUGUAAGUCGGGUGUGAAAGCCCCGGGCUCAACCUGGGAAUGGCAUUGGAUACUGGCAGGCUAGAGUGCGGUAGAGGGUGGUGGAAUUCCCGGUGUAGCAGUGAAAUGCGUAGAGAUCGGGAGGAACAUCUGUGGCGAAGGCGGCCACCUGGACCAGCACUGACACUGAGGCACGAAAGCGUGGGGAGCAAACAGG